CGUCGCGAGACAGUUCGGUCUCUAUCCGUCGUGGGCGCAGGAAGAUUGAGGGGAGUCAUCUUCAGUACGAGAGGACCGAGAUGGCUUGACCGCUGGUGCGUCAGUUGGCCUGCCCGGGCCAGAGCUGAGUAGCUACGUCAAGAAAGGAGAAGCGCUGAAAGCAUCUAAGCGCGAAGCCGACCCCAAGAAGAGUCUUCCCGCUCUCUCUGAGAGGAGGGAGCCAAGACCCCAGAAAGAAGAUCUGGUAGAUAGACCGUGCGUGGACGUCUGGUAACAGGCGAAGCGGAACGGGACUAAUGGUCGAACGGCUUGUUUC
Molecule: ribosomal RNA, 316 nt
Filed under: Thermosporothrix hazakensis
Lineage: Bacteria; Bacillati; Chloroflexota; Ktedonobacteria; Ktedonobacterales; Thermosporotrichaceae
Description: bacterial LSU rRNA
Rfam family: Bacterial large subunit ribosomal RNA
Source: RNAcentral